This 73-nucleotide transfer RNA is filed under the name Cordylochernes scorpioides. RNAcentral's name for it is "tRNA-Thr". The record is from RNAcentral. Lineage: Eukaryota; Metazoa; Arthropoda; Arachnida; Pseudoscorpiones; Chernetidae.
GUCCAGGGGUGGGAAUCGAACCCACAACGUUCCGCUUACCGGGCAGAUGCCAUGUCCACUAGGCUACCCUGGA